CGGAGGAAAAGAAACUAACAAGGAUUCCCCUAGUAACGGCGAGUGAAGCGGGAAGAGCUCAAAUUUGAAAUCUGGCAGUCUUCGAUUGUCCGAGUUGUAAUCUAUAGAGGCGUUUUCCGUGCCGGACCGUGUCCAAGUCUCCUGGAAAGGAGUAUCAAAGAGGGUGAUAAUCCCGUACUUAACACGACCACCGGUGCUCUGUGAUACGUCUUCUACGAGUCGAGUUGUUUGGGAAUGCAGCUCAAAAUGGGUGGUGAAUUCCAUCUAAAGCUAAAUAUUGGCGAGAGACCGAUAGCGAACAAGUACCGUGAGGGAAAGAUGAAAAGCACUUUGGAAAGAGAGUUAAACAGUACGUGAAAUUGUUGAAAGGGAAACGAUUGAAGUCAGUCGUGUUCUUUGGAUUCAGCCAGUUCUGCUGGUCUACUUCCUUGGAACGGGUCAACAUCAGUUUUGUCCGGUGGAUAAAGGUAGUAGGAAUGUGACUUCUCCGGAAGUGUUAUAGCCUAUUAUCACAUACACUGGGUGAGACUGAGGACUGCAGCUCGCCUUUAUGGCCGGCCUUCGGGCACGUUCGAGCUUAGGAUGUUGACAUAAUGGCUUUAAACGACCCGU
RNAcentral lists this ribosomal RNA (612 nucleotides) under Trichosporon asahii. Its description in RNAcentral is "partial large subunit ribosomal RNA". It matches the Rfam family "Eukaryotic large subunit ribosomal RNA", at positions 51 to 652 of the family's 3401-position model. Lineage: Eukaryota; Fungi; Basidiomycota; Tremellomycetes; Trichosporonales; Trichosporonaceae. The record is from RNAcentral.